GAUGAACGCUGGCGGCGUGCUUAACACAUGCAAGUCGAACGAAGCACUUUAUUUUAUUUCCUUCGGGACUGAUUAUUUUGUGACUGAGUGGCGGACGGAUGAGUAACUCGUGGGUAACCUGCCUUGUACAGGGGGAUAACAGUAGGAAACGGCUGCUAAUACCGCAUAGGGGCACAGCAUCACAUGAUGCAGUGUGAAAAACUCCGGUGGUAUAAGAUGGAGCCGCGUUGGAUUAGGUAGAUGGUGAGGUAGCGGCCCACCAAGGCGACGAUGCAUAGCCGACCGGAGAGGGUGACCGGCCACAUCGGGACUGAGACACGGCCCAAACUCCUACGGGAGGGAGGAGUGGGGAAUAUUACACAAUGAGCGAAAGCCUGAUGCAGCGACGCCGCGUGAGCGAAGAAGUGUUUCGGUAUGUAAAGCUCUAUCAGCAGAGAAGAUAAUGACGGUACCUGACUAAGAAGCACCGGCUAAAUACGUG
Molecule: ribosomal RNA, 481 nt
Filed under: uncultured bacterium
Lineage: Bacteria
Description: partial 16S ribosomal RNA
Rfam family: Bacterial small subunit ribosomal RNA
Source: RNAcentral